CGGGACGGGUGGGUAAUGUCUGGGAAACGUGCCUGAUGGAGGGGGGUAACUACUGGAAACGGGAGCUAAUACCGCAUAACGUCGCAAGACCAAAGAGGGGGACCGUUCGGGCCUCUUGCCAUCGGAUGUGCCCAGAUGGGAUUAGCUAGUAGGUGGGGUAACGGCUCACCUAGGCGACGAUCCCUAGCUGGUCUGAGAGGAUGACCAGCCACACUGGAACUGAGACACGGUCCAG
This 235-nucleotide ribosomal RNA is filed under the name uncultured bacterium. RNAcentral describes it as "partial 16S ribosomal RNA". It matches the Rfam family "Bacterial small subunit ribosomal RNA", at positions 100 to 334 of the family's 1533-position model. The record is from RNAcentral.